CCUACGUGUCGCAGCAGUGGGGAAUAUUGGACAAUGGGCGAAAGCCUGAUCCAGCCAUGCCGCGUGUGUGAAGAAGGCCUUCGGGUUGUAAAGCACUUUCAGUGGGGAAGAAAGCCUUGGGGCUAAUACCCUCGAGGAAGGACAUCACCCACAGAAGAAGCACCGGCUAACUCCGUGCCAGCAGCCGCGGUAAUACGGAGGGUGCGAGCGUUAAUCGGAAUUACUGGGCGUAAAGCGCGCGUAGGCGGUCUGAUAAGCCGGUUGUGAAAGCCCCGGGCUCAACCUGGGAACGGCAUCCGGAACUGUCAGGCUAGAGUGCAGGAGAGGAAGGUAGAAUUCCCGGUGUAGCGGUGAAAUGCGUAGAGAUCGGGAGGAAUACCAGUGGCGAAGGCGGCCUUCUGGACUGACACUGACGCUGAGGUGCGAAAGCGUGGGUAGCAAACAGGACUAGAUACCCUAGUAGUC
RNAcentral lists this ribosomal RNA (465 nucleotides) under Vreelandella stevensii. RNAcentral describes it as "partial 16S ribosomal RNA". It matches the Rfam family "Bacterial small subunit ribosomal RNA", at positions 338 to 795 of the family's 1533-position model. The record is from RNAcentral. Lineage: Bacteria; Pseudomonadati; Pseudomonadota; Gammaproteobacteria; Oceanospirillales; Halomonadaceae.